Molecule: ribosomal RNA, 98 nt
Filed under: uncultured bacterium
Lineage: Bacteria
Description: partial 16S ribosomal RNA
Source: RNAcentral
CGGGUCGUAAAGCUCUGUGGGGAGGGAAGAACAAGCCUGUGGCUAAUAUCCACGGGCCCUGACGGUACCUCCUUAGCAAGCACCGGCUAACUCCGUGC